This 1787-nucleotide long non-coding RNA is filed under the name Olea europaea subsp. europaea. The record is from RNAcentral. Lineage: Eukaryota; Viridiplantae; Streptophyta; Magnoliopsida; Lamiales; Oleaceae.
CGUUGAAUCAACUUGUUUUCUCUUUUGAGCCCAACACAAAACUUGUACCUUUGCUUGCUAAGAUUGAUGUUUCAUCGAUUGUAGCUUGAAUAAGCAAUCACAUCGCUUCAUUAACUCUCUUCGCUUGUGACCUCAUCAUGGGCGUCUCGUCAACAAUCAACGGAUCCUUGCCUGGACUUACCUUCAUUCCUUGGAUCACAUCAUCACGUGAGACUGAAAAUCAAGCAAAUUAAAUUUCAUUAUCAAUCAGAGCAUUAACCAUUACAUAUAACAUGAUGAGAUAAGCAUAAACUUCAACAUAAGUAUAAACUUCAACACCCACGAACAAUGGAUAUAGACAAAAGACCUUGUUAAUACCAGGUUUGGAAAAGCAAUACCUAAAUCAAUUAUAAGAUUUACCAGUGCGCACCGGAUUCCCUCAUCAUAAAUAAAAAAAAAAAAAAAAAAAGAGCAAAAGUUUUACUAAAUUUUGCAUUUGUAAAGGUUUCUGAAUUGAUUCAUUUCCUUUGGACACUGGAAACUAGCCUGACCAAAUUGAUAUUUGGGUCAGUUUUGGUGUAAUUAUUAUUGAACCAACAUACAUGGUUUCACUUUUUAUUCAAAUAUAGAACAGAACCUCUAUAACCUCUAAUGACGAAAAUGUACCUCCACAUCCCAUAGUAACCAAGUAAGAUACAAGUAUCAUUUUAAAUAUUACGUAUGUAGCCUACUAAAGCCUAGCAAAUAUCAUUCAGACAUCAAUAGUUCAACUAAAAAUGAAAAAGGAUUGCUGAAUCAUAACAAAGACAAGUCUAUUUAUAUUUCAAGGCUUUAUUUGGAGACAUGGAAUCAACCAGGACCAAUUAGCUAUUGGCACAAAAUUUGGUCAUCGAGAUACAUACGCUUCUUAUAUUACUAGCUUCCAGGCCUUAAAUUCCAGACUAAAUUCGCUAAGGAGAAACUCUCAAGAUACAGGAAAUUUGACGUAAGACGACCCAAAUACUGUUUAUGAUUGGUUUAAGCAUAAAAGAGUGAUUACAUUAGACACCCAAAUAAAAAAGGUAAUUUUCUUUAUUUGAAAUCUAUUACAAUCUGAACCAUCAUUUGCUGAAGCAUUACAUUAAACACCUGAACUAGAUUCUCCAACCUCAAUUAUUAAACAUAAGUGAACCAGGUUCUUCUAAAAGAAAUAAAAUUUCAAUCAAAUCCAAAAAAAAUUUUCAUAGCAUUAAUUAAAUGAUAAUAAAAUUAAAUUCCAUUACAAUGAUUAGUAGUCAAAAACUGUCUGGAGGUGUGGAAAAUAUGGAUGACCAGCUUCAAAAUGAAUUUGGGGAAGAUGAUGGGUUUAAGAUUGUGGAUCCGGCCCGAGAUGAGUGCCAAACGAAUCCGACCCUCUCUCUAUUAUCCUCUUCCUCCUUACUUCUCUCUCUUUUUGUCUGUUACUUCAAACUAGGGAAAAUCACCGAAUAUAGUCAAAAUAAAUUUCAAAACAACAAGAACACUAGAUUGAGAAAUAGUCACAACAGAAAUAACAACAAAGUUUUCUUCAUUUCAGCGAUGAGACCUACAAAGACACAACGAAAAUAAAUGAAACUUGGUCACAAAUCGGUGUGAAUCGGAAGAACUAGCGGUGCACUACCACCUCUUCGAGUGGCGCAUACGAGGACGGGAGAUUUGCAAGAGAUGAGUGAUGGAAGAGGGAUGGUGAAACUCUACUCCUUUAAGAAGUUAGACCAUCUUCAGCUCUGCACCAAAAUUUGCACAAUUUUUCAACAAAUUUUGCACCAAAUCUUGUACCAAAUCAAAAU